CCCUGUACGGUGCGCCUGUAUGGGCUGA
RNAcentral lists this small RNA (28 nucleotides) under Bombyx mori (domestic silkworm). RNAcentral describes it as "ovarian small RNA-13743". The record is from RNAcentral. Lineage: Eukaryota; Metazoa; Arthropoda; Insecta; Lepidoptera; Bombycidae.